RNAcentral lists this ribosomal RNA (393 nucleotides) under uncultured bacterium. RNAcentral describes it as "partial 16S ribosomal RNA". It matches the Rfam family "Bacterial small subunit ribosomal RNA", at positions 523 to 918 of the family's 1533-position model. The record is from RNAcentral.
AUACGGAGGAUGCGAGCGUUAUCCGGAUUUAUUGGGUUUAAAGGGUGCGUAGGCGGAAAGGUAAGUCAGCGGUGAAACUCAGGUGCUCAACACCUGCCGUGCCGUUGAUACUGUUUUUCUGGAAUGCGGAUGCUGUGGGAGGAAUGUGUGGUGUAGCGGUGAAAUGCAUAGAUAUCACACAGAACACCGAUUGCGAAGGCAUCUCACAAAUCCGUGAUUGACGCUGAGGCACGAAAGUGUGGGGAUCGAACAGGAUUAGAUACCCUGGUAGUCCACACUGUAAACGAUGAUAACUCGCUGUUGGCGAUAUACAGUCAGUGGCCAAGCGAAAGCGAUAAGUUAUCCACCUGGGGAGUACGUCGGCAACGAUGAAACUCAAAGGAAUUGACGGGG